Molecule: ribosomal RNA, 253 nt
Filed under: uncultured bacterium
Lineage: Bacteria
Description: partial 16S ribosomal RNA
Rfam family: Bacterial small subunit ribosomal RNA
Source: RNAcentral
GACGAGCCACACAAACGUUAUUCGGAAUUACUGGGCUUAAAGGGUGCGUAGGCUGUGCAGAAAGUUGGGUGUGAAAUACCUCGGCUUAACCGAGGAAUUGCGCCCAAAACUACUGUGCUCGAGGAAGAUAGAGGUGAGCGGAACUUAGGGUGGAGCGGUGAAAUGCGUUGAUAUCCUAAGGAACACCGGUGGCGAAAGCGGCUCACUGGAUCUUAUCUGACGCUGAGGCACGAAAGCCAGGGUAGCAAACGGG